AUGGGUUGCAUGUUGAUUCAUGUUGACUGGAUACAGGUUUCAAUCUUGCCGGGAACAUUGGCUCGAUUUGAUAGAGAAGCACCAAACUACCAAAAGGAUGGCUACAACGAUUUCAAUACAUUUUACAUACAGGCUGCAUCUGGUACUAAAGGUGGCUCUAGUGGUUCCCCUGUUGUUGAUUGCCAAGGAAGAGCUGUUGCACUGAAUGCAGGAAGCACCAGUUCCAGUGCUUCGGCCUUCUACCUUCCAUUAGACCGUGUAGUUAGAGCACUCAAUCUGAUACGUGGCUGUCGGGACCCAUUUGGCAGCAAGCCAGAAUCUGCGUAUAUUCCUCGUGGUACACUUCAGAUGACUUUUCAACACAAAGGUUUCGAAGAAACUCGACGUCUUGGACUCAGGAAUGAAACCGAGCAGAUCGUAACACAAUUUCUCACUAUGGAGUCCUUACUUGAUGAGAGCGUUGGCAGGGAGAUAAAUUUGCAGGUCGAAAGAGGUGGAACUCCUUUAACAGUAAAGCUGAAGGUAGGGGAUUUGCACUCCAUAACUCCAAAUCAUUUCCUGGAAGUUAGUGGUGCUGUCAUCCAUCCACUUUCAUACCAGCAGGUAAGCUACCCUGCUUUCAUUAUUCUUUUCUGA
This 636-nucleotide ribosomal RNA is filed under the name Triticum aestivum (bread wheat). Its description in RNAcentral is "partial small subunit ribosomal RNA". The record is from RNAcentral. Lineage: Eukaryota; Viridiplantae; Streptophyta; Magnoliopsida; Poales; Poaceae.